UACGUAGGGUGCAAGCGUUAAUCGGAAUUACUGGGCGUAAAGCGUGCGCAGGCGGUGAUGUAAGACAGUUGUGAAAUCCCCGGGCUUAACCUGGGAACUGCAUUUGUGACUGCAUCGCUGGAGUGCGGCAGAGGGGGAUGGAAUUCCGCGUGUAGCAGUGAAAUGCGUAGAUAUGCGGAGGAACACCGAUGGCGAAGGCAAUCCCCUGGGCCUGCACUGACGCUCAUGCACGAAAGCGUGGGGAGCAAACAGG
RNAcentral lists this ribosomal RNA (253 nucleotides) under uncultured bacterium. Its description in RNAcentral is "partial 16S ribosomal RNA". It matches the Rfam family "Bacterial small subunit ribosomal RNA", at positions 524 to 776 of the family's 1533-position model. The record is from RNAcentral.